RNAcentral lists this long non-coding RNA (733 nucleotides) under Vulpes vulpes (red fox). Its description in RNAcentral is "lncRNA (ENSVVUG00000024811.1)". The record is from RNAcentral. Lineage: Eukaryota; Metazoa; Chordata; Mammalia; Carnivora; Canidae.
CGGGCCUUCCUUCCCCCCCACCUCCGGAUGAGCGACCCAGGAGACACCUAGCCCCCUAGUUCAUCGCUUAAGAUGUGAAAGGGGAGGGAGGUUUUACUCCCUGCUUGCUUCCUCCGCCCAGCUAUUUCCAGAGUGAAGAAACUGAGGCCCAGAAAGGUGCUAGCAGCAGUAGUGCUUUCCUAUCUUAUCUUGAGUAGUUAUUCUUCUGAAGCUGGCCCUUUAUGUACAACAGUGGCUGACACUUGUUGAUAACUCACAUUGUGCUAGGAGCUAUGCUAAGCACUUUACUUGGACUGGCUCAUUUCUGUCCUCUGCACUAUGAGGUGUAGGUAGGUAUUAUUAUAACCUCUAUUUUAAAGAAGAGGAAACUAAGGGGAGAGCCCACUCAGGUAAAAAAUAGCAAAGCUCACUCUUAAACCUAACAGUCUGACUUCUGAACACUCAUUCUUCCAAAUAUUGUAUAUACUUUUCUCCUGAAAUGGUUUGACUGACCCAACUUUUCUUUUUCUGACUUUUCCUCUUUCUCAUUCUCUCUCUCUCCCUAGUUUUUUCUUUCUUAAUUGAGAAUGACUUGAAAGCAUCCAGUCCAGUCCCUAAUUGAGCAUCUGUAACUGUGUGAGGUGACUGGUUCCAUAGCUAUCAGCUGCAGGUGCCUUUGAGAAGCACCUAUAGGCUUGCUCUUUUGGCCUCAUGAAUUCCUUCUAGCUUCACCUUUUCCUGACCUCCACUGUCC